RNAcentral lists this RNase P RNA (365 nucleotides) under Sphingomonas kyeonggiensis. RNAcentral's name for it is "RNase P class A". It matches the Rfam family "Bacterial RNase P class A". Rfam says of the family: Ribonuclease P (RNase P) is a ubiquitous endoribonuclease, found in archaea, bacteria and eukarya as well as chloroplasts and mitochondria. Its best characterised activity is the generation of mature 5'-ends of tRNAs by cleaving the 5'-leader elements of precursor-tRNAs. Lineage: Bacteria; Pseudomonadati; Pseudomonadota; Alphaproteobacteria; Sphingomonadales; Sphingomonadaceae. The record is from RNAcentral.
CCAGAGGAUCGGGCGGCCGCGGGUGCGCAAGCACGCGAGGAAAGUCCGGGCUCCACGGAAACACGGUGCCGGGUAAUGCCCGGCGGGGGCGACCCCAGGGAAAGUGCCACAGAGAGCAGACCGCUAAGUCCUUCGGGACCAGCAAGGGUGAAAGGGUGCGGCAAGAGCGCACCGCGCGACCGGUAACGGAAGCGGCAUGGUAAACCCCACCGGGAGCAAGACCGAAUAGGGGCGGCAUAUGGGCCUGGUUCCGGCCCGUCGCCCGGGUUGGUUGCUGGAGCGGCGGAGCAAUCCGUCGCCUAGAGGAAUGGUCGCACAUCGCCGAAAGGCGAGGACAGAACCCGGCUUAUAGAUCCUCUGGCAUC